AGAGUUUGAUCAUGGCUCAGAACGAACGCUGGCGGCAGGCUUAACACAUGCAAGUCGAGCGCCCCGCAAGGGGAGCGGCAGACGGGUGAGUAACGCGUGGGAAUCUACCCAGCCCUACGGAAUAACCCAGGGAAACUUGGACUAAUACCGUAUACGUCCGAUAGGAGAAAGAUUUAUCGGGGUUGGAUGAGCCCGCGUUGGAUAAGCUAGUUGGUGGGGUAAAGGCCUACCAAGGCGACGAUCCAUAGCUGGUCUGAGAGGAUGAUCAGCCACACUGGGACUGAGACACGGCCCAGACUCCUACGGGAGGCAGCAGUGGGGAAUAUUGGACAAUGGGCGCAAGCCUGAUCCAGCCAUGCCGCGUGAGUGAUGAAGGCCCUAGGGUUGUAAAGCUCUUUCACCGGUGAAGAUAAUGACGGUAACCGGAGAAGAAGCCCCGGCUAACUUCGUGCCAGCCGCCGCGGUAAUAC
This 470-nucleotide ribosomal RNA is filed under the name uncultured bacterium. RNAcentral describes it as "bacterial SSU rRNA". It matches the Rfam family "Bacterial small subunit ribosomal RNA", at positions 8 to 526 of the family's 1533-position model. The record is from RNAcentral.